RNAcentral lists this unclassified non-coding RNA (307 nucleotides) under Hevea brasiliensis (rubber tree). The record is from RNAcentral. Lineage: Eukaryota; Viridiplantae; Streptophyta; Magnoliopsida; Malpighiales; Euphorbiaceae.
UGAAGUUUCAUUGUUCAUGACACAUUAGGCUCACUGAUAGUGACAAAAAAAAGAAAUAAUAAUAAUAAUAAUUCCAUCAUUUAUCCAAGUCAACCUUGUCCAUUCACUCACCAAGGAUAAUUAGUUUUAUAUAUUGCUAAAUAGGGAAAACAGAUUGAAAUAGAUAAACUAAUAAUACCCUACUUAGGAUGAAAACAUUGAAAAAUAACCCUCAAUUAUGUGGAGGGCCAGCAUAUACAAUGAUACAACCAUAGAAAUAUAAUCCAUGAAUAAGAGAAAAGAUAUCAUCCAAGCAGACAAAGAAGUG